Ursus americanus (American black bear) is the source of this 123-nucleotide small nuclear RNA. NCBI's taxonomy places the organism in Eukaryota, Metazoa, Chordata, Mammalia, Carnivora, Ursidae. The record is from Ensembl.
GUUUUAUUUCUCUCAGGGACAAUUAUGGAUUAAGACUCAUAUUUCGAUUGGAAUGAUACAGAAAAGAUUUGCAUGCCCCCUGUGCAAAGAUACAUGCACACUCGUGAAGCAUUCCAUAUUUUU